GCCCGAGUGAUGAAAUGGCAAACAUGCGCGACUCAAAAUCGCGUGCCGCAAGGCUUGAGAGUUCGAGUCUCUCCUCGGGCACCA
RNAcentral lists this transfer RNA (84 nucleotides) under Patescibacteria group bacterium. RNAcentral's name for it is "tRNA-Leu". It matches the Rfam family "tRNA". From Rfam's summary of the family: Transfer RNA (tRNA) molecules are approximately 80 nucleotides in length. Their secondary structure includes four short double-helical elements and three loops (D, anti-codon, and T loops). Further hydrogen bonds mediate the characteristic L-shaped molecular structure. tRNAs have two regions of fundamental functional importance: the anti-codon, which is responsible for specific mRNA codon recognition, and the 3' end, to which the tRNAs corresponding amino acid is attached (by aminoacyl-tRNA synthetases). tRNAs cope with the degeneracy of the genetic code in two manners: having more than one tRNA (with a specific anti-codon) for a particular amino acid; and 'wobble' base-pairing, i.e. permitting non-standard base-pairing at the 3rd anti-codon position. The record is from RNAcentral.